Molecule: ribosomal RNA, 870 nt
Filed under: uncultured Inocybe
Lineage: Eukaryota; Fungi; Basidiomycota; Agaricomycetes; Agaricales; Cortinariaceae
Description: eukaryotic LSU rRNA
Rfam family: Eukaryotic large subunit ribosomal RNA (bases 571-870)
Source: RNAcentral
GCUGCUGCUGGCCUCCUCAUUUGAGGGGUGUAAUGUGCACGCUUGUCAUCUUUAUCAUCUCUCCAACUGUGCACAUAUUGUAGACCUGGAAGAAAGCUUUUGAAUUCAUUUUCGAGUUGGGACUGCUGUGCUUUUGAUCAAAGUCGGCUUUGCCUUGAAAUUUCCAGGUCUAUGUCAUUUUCACAACCUCUUGAUAUGUUUAGAAUGUUGAACCAUAUAAAAAAAUAUACAACUUUCAGCAACGGAUCUCUUGGCUCUCGCAUCGAUGAAGAACGCAGCGAAAUGCGAUAAGUAAUGUGAAUUGCAGAAUUCAGUGAAUCAUCGAAUCUUUGAACGCAUCUUGCGCUCCUUGGUAUUCCGAGGAGCAUGCCUGUUUGAGUGUCAUUUAACUUCUCUCAACUGCAUCACUCAGUCUGAUGUGGCUUGGACGUGGGGCUUGCAGGCUUUGAAUGAAGUCUGCUCCCCUGAAAUGAAUUAGUGGUAUCUGAGCUGCCAAUAGGUGUGAUAAUUAUCUACACCUUUUGGUCAUGCUGGUUGUGCUGCUUCUAACAAACACUUGUUUGACAAAUUUGACCUCAAAUCAGGUAGGACUACCCGCUGAACUUAAGCAUAUCAAUAAGCGGAGGAAAAGAAACUAACAAGGAUUCCCCUAGUAACUGCGAGUGAAGCGGGAAAAGCUCAAAUUUGAAAUCUGGCAGCUCUCGAACUGUCCGAAUUGUAAUCUAGAGAAGUGUUACCUGUGCUGGACCAUGUACAAGUCUUCUGGAAUGGAGCAUCACAGAAGGUGAGAAUCCCGUCUUUGACAUGGACUGCCUGCACGUUGUGGUGCGCUCUCGAAGAGUCGAGUUGUUUGGGAAUGCAGCUCAAAAU